Molecule: ribosomal RNA, 833 nt
Filed under: uncultured bacterium
Lineage: Bacteria
Description: bacterial SSU rRNA
Rfam family: Bacterial small subunit ribosomal RNA
Source: RNAcentral
GGGCAACCCUGGUGGCGAGUGGCGGACGGGUGAGUAAUGCAUCGGAACGUGCCCUGAAGUGGGGGAUAACGCAGCGAAAGCUACGCUAAUACCGCAUAUUCUGUGAGCAGGAAAGCAGGGGAUCGCAAGACCUUGCGCUUUGGGAGCGGCCGAUGUCGGAUUAGCUAGUUGGUGGGGUAAAGGCCUACCAAGGCGACGAUCCGUAGCGGGUCUGAGAGGAUGAUCCGCCACACUGGGACUGAAACACGGCCCAGACUCCUACGGGAGGCAGCAGUGGGGAAUUUUGGACAAUGGGCGGAAGCCUGAUCCAGCCAUGCCGCGUGAGUGAAGAAGGCCUUCGGGUUGUAAAGCUCUUUCGGCGGGGAAGAAAUUGCUUGGGUUAAUACCCUGAGUAGAUGACGGUACCCGAAUAAGAAGCACCGGCUAACUACGUGCCAGCAGCCGCGGUAAUACGUAGGGUGCGAGCGUUAAUCGGAAUUACUGGGCGUAAAGCGUGCGCAGGCGGUUUUGUAAGUCAGAUGUGAAAUCCCCGGGCUCAACCUGGGAACUGCAUUUGAGACUGCAAGACUGGAGUUUGGCAGAGGGGGGUGGAAUUCCACGUGUAGCAGUGAAAUGCGUAGAGAUGUGGAGGAACACCGAUGGCGAAGGCAGCCCCCUGGGCCAAUACUGACGCUCAUGCACGAAAGCGUGGGGAGCAAACAGGAUUAGAUACCCUGGUAGUCCACGCCCUAAACGAUGUCAACUAGGUGUUGGGAGGGUUAAACCUUUUAGUGCCGUAGCUAACGCGUGAAGUUGACCGCCUGGGGAGUACGGCCGCAAGGCUAAAACUCAAA